AAUUAAGGGGGGAGAGGCCCAUUUCAAUUAAAUCAUGUCCAUUUGGAGAAGGGCCAUCUUAAUUACACCAAGCCCAUUUCUAUAAAUCAAAUACAUCAUCAAUAAAUCAGGCCCAAUGUUGGAAACAAAGUAUAGGCCCAAUUUUAGUCACUUUAGACAUAUCAAGUCCAUUUCUAUAAGUAGACCACAAAAUCAAUUCGGCCCAAACUUUGAAUUGAUUUUUUUUUUUCUUUUUUUUUAAUCAAAUCCAUUUAUUGUCUUCACAUUUUUUUUUGAAUCAAAUUCGGCCCAAUUUUACUUCUUUUUUGCAGUUGGCAGCGGCGAAAGCUUGGUGAUUAACGACCUUGGAGGGUUAUGUUCAAGAUUGGCGCAGUCUUGCCCCAAACGAGAUGCUUUGAGUAUUUGCAAAGUUUGGAAUCUAUUGUCAUUUUUUCUUUCAGACUUGACAUCUCCAUCAGCCCGACUAAAGACCAUCCUCAGAGAGUUCAUCCAAAAAAUCUGACAGCAGCCCAUCUAAGAUCUUAUUUGAGUGAUGUUUACUUUGCACUUCAGGUGGCUCAAUUGGCUUUUAAUCAGAUUUCGGGUGCGCUCGGAUCUGGGCCAUUGUGAGUCCAACCUUUGAAGAUUGCUGGUUACAUUUUCUCUUUGCGCGCAUUCGAGCAGGCUAGAUGACUCAAUGGUGUUCUAUUAUGUUUGGCGAACAUGUGUUUCAACUUCACGAGCGGAUUCAACUUUAGCUUGGAGAGAAGUGAAUUUGUCGAUGCAUAGCCGACCUCAAUGCCAGAUGACUCAAUUCUUUGACAGGUCUUGGGUGCGCUCAGGCCUGGGAUUGUUUGAAUCUGGUUUGAGUGAGGUUGUUGUUAUGUUUGGCAUCUCACGAAGUUGGGAGAAUUCUGCAGGCUCGAGAAGAUUGAGUAUUUUCUUCUUGAUGCUUAAGCCAAGGAGAAUGAAGCCAUCGUCCGAAUUGCUUUGAUCAAGGAAGUGCUUGCUAUGAUAGAGAGGUGGAAGACAGAGAUGACGUUGUCCUUCAAGCAAGAUAGUGCCUCCUUUCAUAUUGUCCGAGGUGCAAUCCCAGAAUUCAAAAGAGAGUUUGACAAACAUAAAGUUGCACAUGUUGAUGAGGAAAUGCUGCGGAAUUUUGAAGACUUCAGAGUCACUUUUGAUCUCUGCUCAGAGAACUUUGGAGGAUCAAAACCCAUUUACUUAGUAUUGGUGCAAACCGCAGUUUCUAUCAUUUCUCUCUUGAUGCUUUUUAUUUGGUUUGUGAUGGAUAUUUUGACAUCUUCUCCAAAUGCUUGUGCUUCUUUUGAUGGCUUGAUUUUCUUCCCAAUUUGAGACAUAUUCGGCUUCACAUAAUCAACUUAAAUCAUAACUUUGAUGAUAUAAAUUGAAAAGAGUCAAACACAAUUCAUGACUGAACUUAGAAAUUAUCUAAGCUGCCUACGUACCCUUUUGAAAGGGAUCAAGUCAAAACGUAGUUCAUAG
Molecule: long non-coding RNA, 1485 nt
Filed under: Salvia miltiorrhiza (redroot sage)
Lineage: Eukaryota; Viridiplantae; Streptophyta; Magnoliopsida; Lamiales; Lamiaceae
Description: long non-coding RNA (SMIL_LNC009366)
Source: RNAcentral